GCGGAAUCUUCAGGCUGAACGGAGUUCCUUAGGAACAGAACCACCCAUCUCACUCCACCACGUGCUCCCAACGGUGUUCCUGACCAUGGUCCUCGGCAGCUCACUCCACCACGUGCUCCCCACUGUGCUCCCGACCAUGGUCCUCGGCAGCUCACUCCACCACGUGCUCCCCACUGUGCUCCCGACCAUGGUCCUCGGCAGCUCACUCCACCACGUGCUCCCAACUGUGCUCCAGACCAUGGUCCUCGGCAGCUCACUCCACCACGUGCUCCCCACUGUGCUCCCGACCAUGAUCCUCGGCAGCUCACUCCAUCACGUGCUCCCCACUGUGCUCCCCACCAUGGUCUUCUGCAGCUCACUCCACCACGUGUUCCCAACUGUGCUCCCCACCAUGGUCUUCUGCAGCUCACUCCACCACGUGCUCCCAACUGUGUUCCUGACCAUGGUCCUCGGCAGCUCACUCCACCACGUGCUCCCCACUGUGCUCCCGAACAUGAUCCUCGGCAGCUCACUCCAUCACGUGCUCCUCAGUGUGCUCCCCACCAUGGUCUUCUGCAGCUCACUCCACCGCGUGCUCCAUAGUGCUCCCGACCAUGGUCCUCGGCAGCUCACUCCACCACGUGCUCCCAACUGUGCUCCCCACCAUGGUCCUCUGCUGCUCACUCCACCAC
Molecule: long non-coding RNA, 671 nt
Filed under: Mus musculus (house mouse)
Lineage: Eukaryota; Metazoa; Chordata; Mammalia; Rodentia; Muridae
Description: predicted gene, 50312
Source: RNAcentral